Non-coding RNA from Heligmosomoides polygyrus, 75 nucleotides. The record is from Rfam. Lineage: Eukaryota; Metazoa; Nematoda; Chromadorea; Rhabditida; Heligmosomidae.
GCGCCGGUGGUGUAAUGGCGUAGAGCAUUCCCGCCCGGUCAGAGGGAAGUGCGGGUUCGAGUCCCGCCUGGCGCU